CUCGUCGUCUCCCAUCUCCGAUGGCGGCAGAACGAUACUGCAGUCCAAGAAGUUGUUGAUGGCAUUCAGCAGGUCCUGCCUGUCGUCCGCCAGCACACCCAACCAAGGCCGCCAUCUUGUGGCGUAUGUGAGCGAGUUUUACAGCUUCUAUUUAGUUGGACUUUAUAUUCAGACAUGAGGGUGGAGAUUGAGCGUCCAAUCUGAUGGUAGUCCAUGCUGGUGGUUGGAGGUCCAAGCAGAACGAAGAGGAAUCUGAC
Long non-coding RNA from Xiphophorus maculatus (southern platyfish), 257 nucleotides. RefSeq lists it as uncharacterized. The transcript is spliced from 3 exons. The record is from RefSeq and is a predicted model, not a curated record. Lineage: Eukaryota; Metazoa; Chordata; Actinopteri; Cyprinodontiformes; Poeciliidae.